RNAcentral lists this ribosomal RNA (496 nucleotides) under uncultured bacterium. Its description in RNAcentral is "partial 16S ribosomal RNA". It matches the Rfam family "Bacterial small subunit ribosomal RNA", at positions 28 to 506 of the family's 1533-position model. The record is from RNAcentral.
GAUGAACGCUGGCGGCGUGCCUAAUACAUGCAAGUCGAGCGAACAGACGAGGAGCUUGCUCCUCUGACGUUAGCGGCGGACGGGUGAGUAACACGUGGAUAACCUACCUAUAAGACUGGGAUAACUUCGGGAAACCGGAGCUAAUACCGGAUAAUAUAUUGAACCGCAUGGUUCAAUAGUGAAAGACGGUUUUGCUGUCACUUAUAGAUGGAUCCGCGCCGCAUUAGCUAGUUGGUAAGGUAACGGCUUACCAAGGCAACGAUGCGUAGCCGACCUGAGAGGGGGAUCGGCCACACUGGACCUGAGACACGGUCCAGACCCCUACGGGAGGCAGCAGUAGGGAAUCUUCCGCAAUGGGCGAAAGCCUGACGGAGCAACGCCGCGUGAGUGAUGAAGGUCUUCGGAUCGUAAAACUCUGUUAUUAGGGAAGAACAAAUGUGUAAGUAACGAUGCACGUCCUGACGGGACCUAAUCAGAAAGCCACGGCUAACUACGU